Molecule: unclassified non-coding RNA, 3786 nt
Filed under: Pogonomyrmex barbatus (red harvester ant)
Lineage: Eukaryota; Metazoa; Arthropoda; Insecta; Hymenoptera; Formicidae
Description: anillin, transcript variant X6
Source: RNAcentral
CUUAUCCUUGUUGAUCAUUAAAUGGAAAGCACCCUAAGAAAGAAAGAUAAACUGUGAACUAGUACAAACUAGUUCAACCAAAAAGAACAGGCCCAAUAAUUUCAUCAACGGGCAGGAAGAAAUUUAGUUACGUCACUGCGAUGCAACUCCUGUCCUAUCGAGUGUUUUGCGUCUCUUCUCGCAUCGUUCUUGGUACAGUGAUAUACAAUACGAGGUUCAUCACGGCUCGAUAGACAUGAGCGCAAGGGUCGUCCGCCCGCAUUCAUUCGUUGUCGUUUCUUGAGGAACGGUGCCCUUUCCGCUUGGACAUCCAGGGGUGCGAUUACGUGUUGAAAUCCGAGGAAGAGUCGGAAAGCGUCACAGGCUGUUUUGUAGAUACGCCAGGAACAAUGGAACCCUUCAUCCAGCGUAUGUUGGAACGUGCUAAAGCAAGGAGAGAGAAAUUAGAUGAACAAUUGUCAAAUGCCGGGCACGAUGUUAAAAAAAGGCGGAGUCCCCUGAAAAAUGCUAAUGCUUUAUUAGAACAAGCUACAGCAGCAAAUGAAAAUUUAGCCAAGUCACCAGUCAAAACAACUGCAACCAGUCCUGUUAAGUCUCCUCGCAAAUCUCCUGUAACUCCUAAAACUACUGCAUCUUUCAAUAAUAAACAAGAUAAUAAGGAAAAUGGUGAAUUUGAAACUAGCAACGUAAAAUCCAAGUUGCAGAGACUUGGAAAACUCUAUUCUGAUGAUAAUCUUGGAUUAAGUUCACCCAUACAUAGGACCGAAGAGAAAUUCACUGCAGAAGAAAAUAGUAUGGAUCAUAAACCAGCUAAGAAAGGGGCUAGAUUGGACAGAUUAGCGGCUUUAGCUUCUACAAUAAACAAUUGGGAGGAUGAUUUAUCGCAUCCAUCAUUAACCAAUCCAAAAAUCAAGCCAGUAAAUAGCAAAGCGGAAAAAAUACAAGCAAAGUUUAACGAACAAGUUAAAAAUGGAUCAGAGCCACAACCAAGCACAAGCAAAUGGGUCAGUGGAAGGAAAAGCAAAGAUUUAAGUCCUAGUAAGCAACUGAAAUGGGACAAGAACGUGUUAGAAAAUUUGGAGGCUCAAGGUUUUAGUCGUACAAAAAGCAAUUCUCGCCUUGUGUAUGACUAUAAGCAUUGUUCCCAGGAAUCAAAUGUGGUUACAAGUCGCUUAUCGCCUCACAAGUUUACGAAUUUUGCUCAUCAGCAAACGGAAAAGAAACGAUUUUCGUCCGAUAAAUCUGACGAUUCACCAAGAGACAAGAAAACGGAAAGUGACACUAGUGUGACCGCCAGUCCGGCUAACUCUUCUAAAAGCAAUGACAGUAAAGUUUCUAAUACUCCUGAAAGUGUUGUCAAAAGUGCGAAUACUAGUAGUAGUUCUCGAUUAGCGUCGAGAACGGUAUUUAACGGCUCGCCAAAGACUUUGGUUCAACCAUCAGGUUCGGUAUUAAGUAAAGCAUCGAUGUUCGAAGCCAAAAACGCAGAGAAGGCGAAAGAUCCUGCUCAAAUGUCGCUCGCUGAAAGAAUGGCGUUUUUCGAGCGAAAUAAAGGGGAAGCACCAUUAAUACCCAAAGCGCCACUUACAAUGUCGAUACCGCCUAAAAAGUUACAAGAAAAAGACAAGCCUACACAAUCAGGAUCUAAUAUAGACUCAUCUCCGUAUAAUCGCAAUGCCGACGUUCCAAGCAGAACAGUUCUUGAGCAACGUGCAAUGUUCGAACAAGGCAACAAUAGGAAUAAGGUAGAAGAAAUGGAGAAUCAUAUUUUACAAGCUACCUAUGCUGAGAGACAGCGUGAAUUAAGCAUGCUACGUUCGCGAUUUAAUGCCAAUAAGGAGGUUGCUCAUGCCGCCGCUCGAUCUUGCGUUCGAACGAGCGAAAGUAGCGAAGGAGGUGGCAAACCAUCAUCGCCGAAGAACUCGCCUAUAUGUCCGGUGAAACCGACUCCUGCUCCGGAUCAUAUUGCUCAGCCUCCGCCCCCACCACCGUUACCACAGCCAGAAAUUAUAUCGUAUCAUGUUAAAUCUUCUCCGGCAAAACGACAAGUUGUUGGAAGUCCACCCAAAAUUCAGUAUUCAAAUACAGUGUCAGAUAUUAAACGUAUCCGCGUAUGUCCUCCGAAACAGGGAUCCCUUUAUCCGAAUUUAUCCGAGAUUGAAGUUACAGAAAGCGAGAGCGAUACAGAAUACACUGUUGACAGUACCGAAGCUGUAACUGCUACUUUCGAUGAAAAGACUGAGACUGAAACUGAAACAGUCUCUGAGGCUGAUUAUUAUAUUCGACAUGAUGAAACUGAUCAGGAAACUGAAAGUGAUCAGGAAAGCACACAAAAUUCAUCUUUUGGGCGAACGAGUUUUGGACGCAGUAUCUUGCAUGCGCUUGACGAACGUUCGUUGUUUAACAAAAAGAGAUCUAUAGAACCGGAUCCAGAUAGCACUACAACAGAUAUUUCGGUACUCGAUGAAAUGGAUCAAUAUUUAGAUGAAUGUCUUGAUGAAGAAUUAUGUAAUGACAUAAGAGAGGAAGGUCCAACACCGCCUAAAGUAAACAAAAGUGGUGAAAGUCUGUCGAUGGAGUGCAAUAGUUUCAAAUAUCGUUCGCCUUUAAAAGAUAGACUAGAGGAUGGUAACAAACGCGUACCAUUAGUACGUACUGUUAGUGCAUAUAGACGACAACAAUCUCAAUUGGCUAAGGUUAAUAUAACUACGAGACAAGAAACAGGAUUAAAUUCAAUUUCUGCAGAGAAAUCCGAAGAUGAAUCGGUAUUGGUAGAAAAUAAAAUAAAAAAAUUAUUGGACGAAGUUGGAACACAACAAAAGAAGAUAGAAGAGGCUAGCAAAGCAUUAAAUUUAUGUCACUCCACUGUCGAGUUUAAUGGCUCCAGUGAACAUGUUGGAGGCGAAUGGGCUCUACUCAUUGCUACUCACAAACGUCAAGCUGCAUUGAAUGAAGUUCAAAGGCUGAAACGAGAAGGUACACUGAGACCUGUCAAGGCAGGUUCGCCAGAAGUGCAGGGAAGUGGAUCAUUAACUAUUUCUGCUAUUACGUUACCACUGAAGCAAGAAUAUUUCCGAAACAUGGGCAUGAAUACAUAUCUUCACUGUGUCUGUUUGAUGUAUUACUUAGGAGAAGUUGUCGCUACUCAAGCAGCGACUGCUGAGCCAGGCGAUUCGUGUAUUCGUUUCACUUCAUUGUUGAAAUUUGACAACUUGCAUAGCGAUUUUAAAAUUCUCGUUGAAGUAUAUACAUUUCAGACACAACCAAAAUAUUUACCACAUGAAAAGAAAUAUCAUAUCAGCCAUACCGUAAAAGCAGUCAAUAAGACGCCAAAGAAAAGAAUCAGUUUGUAAUACCGGAUAUACAGAGCCCAGCAGGUCCGACUGCAAUCAGGUCACCUUCAUUCGAAUUGUCUGGGACUGCGACAGUCACCCUUAAUGACAUAAAUCGCGAGCAAUUUACUUUACUCGGGAUUUCGUCGCAUUCUCCUUUAGAAGGACAGCUUCGAAUGCGUAUAUCACGUAAACUCUCGAUAUCGGUGGAGCAUCGCGGAUUUCUGACGCUUUACGAGGAUAUUUCGAAUUUGGGUGCUUGGCGUCGAAAAUGGUACUGGCUUAAAGACGCCAAACUUUAUUAUUGGAUGCAUCCCGAGGACGAACAUAAAAAAAGUCCAAUAGGAUAUCUUGACUUGGAGGGUGUAAUUACAAAGAAUGUACAAUUUAUAAAUCGUGAAAAAUGCGCUCGUCCCUUCACAUUUCUACUCGAGAUAUCGAGACCUGCGCAAUC